This 301-nucleotide ribosomal RNA is filed under the name uncultured bacterium. Its description in RNAcentral is "partial 16S ribosomal RNA". It matches the Rfam family "Bacterial small subunit ribosomal RNA", at positions 509 to 807 of the family's 1533-position model. The record is from RNAcentral.
CAGUAGCCGCGGUAAUACGAAGGGGGCUAGCGUUGCUCGGAAUGACUGGGCGUAAAGGGCGCGUAGGCGGUUGACACAGUCAGAUGUGAAAUUCCCGGGCUUAACCUGGGGGCUGCAUUUGAGGCGUGGCGACUAGAGUGUGAGAGAGGGUUGUGGAAUUCCCAGUGUAGAGGUGAAAUUCGUAGAUAUUGGGAAGAACACCGGUGGCGAAGGCGGCAACCUGGCUCAUUACUGACGCUGAGGCGCGAAAGCGUGGGGAGCAAACAGGAUUAGAUACCCCCGUAGUCCCUGUCUCUUAUAC